Molecule: ribosomal RNA, 254 nt
Filed under: uncultured bacterium
Lineage: Bacteria
Description: partial 16S ribosomal RNA
Rfam family: Bacterial small subunit ribosomal RNA
Source: RNAcentral
UACGUAGGGAGCAAGCGUUGUCCGGAAUCAUUGGGCGUAAAGAGCGCGUAGGCGGUCCGGUAAGUCGGUUGUGAAAACUGGGGGCUCAACCCUCAGACGCCGACCGAUACUGUCGGGCUAGAGUCCGGAAGAGGCGAGUGGAAUUCCUGGUGUAGCGGUGAAAUGCGCAGAUAUCAGGAGGAACACCGGUGGCGAAGGCGGUUCUCUGGGCCUGUACUGACGCUGAGGAGCGAAAGCGUGGGGGAGCAAACAGG